GGGGCCAUAGCUCAGCGGGAGAGCGCCUGCCUUGCAAGCAGGAGGUCAGCGGUUCGAUCCCGCUUGGCUCCACCA
This 75-nucleotide transfer RNA is filed under the name Paenibacillus polymyxa SQR-21. Its description in RNAcentral is "tRNA-Ala (TGC) (tRNA-Ala-TGC-1-1)". It matches the Rfam family "tRNA". From Rfam's summary of the family: Transfer RNA (tRNA) molecules are approximately 80 nucleotides in length. The record is from RNAcentral. Lineage: Bacteria; Bacillati; Bacillota; Bacilli; Caryophanales; Paenibacillaceae.